UUUUGUAGGGCAAGAAUACUUACAAUACGUGACUUUGGCUCCUUAAUUUUCUUCUCAUUUCUUCCAGUUUUCAUUUGAAAACAAAACAGUAUUUAUCAUCUGAGAAAUAUCAGAAAAUUUCUAAACAUAACUGUUUGGAUGAGAUUUUACAGGAUUUUCAGGAUUAUGACCUGACCUUGAAAACCCUCCAGACGUGGCUGCUGCUGCUGCUUGUUUCUGAUCACAGCAAUGGACAUCCCAGCAUUGCUCUGCAGGAUGACAGAACAGUAGUUUCAGUGUAAUGGUUUCAACGAAACGAAACCAGCUUCAGCUGCUUAGCACAAGAGCUCGGUGAUGUAAGUUCCCGCAGUAAUUAGCUUGUUCGUCUCCUCUUCCAGCUUCAUGAGUCAGCUGCACGGAUCAAGAAGGAGUGAAAAAAAAAUCCCACAAAAGACUUCUAUAAAGAUUCACAACGAUUAUUUUGCAAUGACUAGAAGCUACCAGGGAUGCUAUAAUUGUAACACUUUGCAGGGUGUAUAAUAGUGUGACCUUUAUAUAAGGAGCAUUGCACUAUGAUCUUUCCAAGCACAGAGGAGAAACAGUGAACAAAGGACUGCUCAGACUUCUGAGACUUCUCCGUUUCUAACUUAUGAUUACCUCAUCCAUUUACACUAGGUGCAGUUUUUUAUAUGAGACUUUUUGUAUCUCUAUGUGUACCCUGGCAAGGAAGGAUCUCCUGUCAACAUUUUCUGAGUCCCAGCACUUGGACCUGAGCUUUGGAGUUCCUGCCAACCUUAUGCAAACCAGAACUGUAUGAAUAAAUUGCUACAUAAUAAAUAAAUUACUAUUUUUUUCCA
Molecule: long non-coding RNA, 836 nt
Filed under: Anas platyrhynchos platyrhynchos (common mallard)
Lineage: Eukaryota; Metazoa; Chordata; Aves; Anseriformes; Anatidae
Description: lncRNA (ENSAPLG00000022763.1)
Source: RNAcentral